Molecule: transfer RNA, 71 nt
Filed under: Lachnospiraceae bacterium
Lineage: Bacteria; Bacillati; Bacillota; Clostridia; Lachnospirales; Lachnospiraceae
Also listed under: 2 other names
Description: tRNA-Gly
Rfam family: tRNA
About the family: Transfer RNA (tRNA) molecules are approximately 80 nucleotides in length.
Source: RNAcentral
GCAGGUGUGGUUCAAUGGUAGAACACCAGCCUUCCAAGCUGGUGACGUGGGUUCGAUUCCCAUCACCUGCU